RNAcentral lists this ribosomal RNA (671 nucleotides) under Salmonella enterica subsp. enterica. RNAcentral's name for it is "partial 23S ribosomal RNA". It matches the Rfam family "Bacterial large subunit ribosomal RNA", at positions 566 to 1190 of the family's 2925-position model. The record is from RNAcentral. Lineage: Bacteria; Pseudomonadati; Pseudomonadota; Gammaproteobacteria; Enterobacterales; Enterobacteriaceae.
CUUUGCUGAGGAUACGGUUAACGGAGCGAAAGCGACGUUCAACCGCAAAACAAGCAGAGGGGGCUUAGUGGUGGGGUGACUGCGUACCUUUUGUAUAAUGGGUCAGCGACUUAUAUUCUGUAGCAAGGUUAACCGAAUAGGGGAGCCGGAGGGAAACCGAGUCUUAAUUGGGCGUUAAGUUGCAGGGUAUAGACCCGAAACCCGGUGAUCUAGCCAUGGGCAGGUUGAAGGUUGGGUAACACUAACUGGAGGACCGAACCGACUAAUGUUGAAAAAUUAGCGGAUGACCUGUGGCUGGGGGUGAAAGGCCAAUCAAACCGGGAGAUAGCUGGUUCUCCCCGAAAGCUAUUUAGGUAGCGCCUCGUGAAUUCAUCUCCGGGGGUAGAGCACUGUUUCGGCUAGGGGGCCAUCCCGGCUUACCAACCCGAUGCAAACUGCGAAUACCGGAGAAUGUUAUCACGGGAGACACACGGCGGGUGCUAACGUCCGUCGUGAAGAGGGAAACAACCCAGACCGCCAGCUAAGGUCCCAAAGUCAUGGUUAAGUGGGAAACGAUGUGGGAAGGCCCAGACAGCCAGGAUGUUGGCUUAGAAGCAGCCAUCAUUUAAAGAAAGCGUAAUAGCUCACUGGUCGAGUCGGCCUGCGCGGAAGAUGUAACGGGGCUAAACCAU